CAAGCUCUUUGGUGUGUAUGUUUGUAUGCGUUUUUGUAUGUGAGAGGCAGAGAAAAAGCGUUUGAGAGAGCGGGGGCUGACGGAGGGAAGACAAACCGAGAGUUAAGAGUGUGUGAAAGAGAGAUACGGCGAGAGAGGGGGGGAUUUGUAAGGCACUUUGUAUUUGCAAACUACUAGAUGAAUUACCAUUGGAAACAGGCAGUGGAUCAGACAGACAGACAGUGUGUGUGUGUGUGUGUGUGUGUGUGGGGGACAGAUACAGAAGGUGGGAGGGAGAGGGGAGGAGGGAGAGGCAAGAACCCGUUCCCCUCAGUUCCACACCAACUUUUCAUCGUGUGCACUUGAGGGAAGUUACUCCCCGGCUAUGGAAGCGUUUUUCUUUUCUUCUUCCCCCCUUUUUUUUCCUUCUUUUUUCCCCCUACACCUUUUAACAUUCGGCAGUAACAUCGGCAGAACAAGAAAAUAACUGAAUAACUUUCCACUGUUGUUCAGCACAGCAGAGUGGGACGUGUGUGUGUGUGUGUGUGUGUGUGUGGAGGAGGAGAGGAAUGUGAAGAUGGAAGACACCGGGGGAAACAAGGGAGUGCGGCUCUGUGCUCAAUGAGGUGAGAGUCUUCUUAGCAGUCACAAGUUUCCUCUCAGCAGCGGAAGAGGAAAAUGACAGGUAUUCACCACAGCUGCACGAACCACCACUCCAGGACACCCGACACCACGGCUCUCUCCUCCUCAACUGCCAGCGCCCUCUCCACAUCAUCAAGGAACUCAACGCCAGCAUGGGUGGCGGGCAUUGAAUGGAGCUUGCCGGCCGAGAGCAUAAAGCAUCAUGUGGGCGUCAGCAUCACGUCCUGCACAUGUGAGGAUGUCAGAUGGACGACUACAGGGUGACAUGUUUGUCCUGGUGACCUCAGUAAACAUUCAACGCUGUCGACAGUGAAGCAUGUCUGCGAGGAGAGUAUCUGUUUGCCCUCAUCACCAUACUCUGGAACAUCUUGAAGAAGCAGAUGGGGAACAGAGAGCCAGAUACACCCGCCACCUGAUAUUUGCAGGCUCAGUCCGUAUUCCCUGACAUUCAGGCUGAGAGACAUGCAUGAUAAAAAGGUGUUUUUGUUGGGAUUAUAAAACAGGGAUGUGACCCCUCCUUUUAAAAAUCAAGAGACAUGUACGUUGCCAAAUUAGAUGUUCUAAAGCAUGUGCAAAUUGCAAUGACGUGCAAUGAAUUUCAAGAAGUAAACUAAACUCUGUUGUUUGAACGUCUAUGCUGUUACAUUAAAACGUCUAGACUAUAAUAUCUAAAAUGGAUUGUACGUUUUACUGCCAGAUUCUAGCUUUAAGUUAAGCCAAUUGAUGUAUAUAUGUCUGUUUUUAAGACUUUAAGAGAUUAUGUAUAUUCAUUGCAAAAG
Molecule: long non-coding RNA, 1400 nt
Organism: Esox lucius (northern pike)
Lineage: Eukaryota; Metazoa; Chordata; Actinopteri; Esociformes; Esocidae
Exons: 3
Source: RefSeq, a predicted model, not a curated record